GUAAAAUCUCAACUCCGAGUAACCCCAGCCGAGUAGCUGUCCCCCAAAAAAAAAACUCUCUCAAAUAACCAGUAAAACCCCAGUCGAAAAUCAAAGUCUCAAAUUCUCAAAACCCUACACCGGAGCUACGUUGACGGUAAUGGCCGGUUACUCCCCGCCGGCGAAAUCAUAGCUUGGUGGAAUUUUGAAAUUAAUCGAAAGUUGAAGAAGACAUUGCCUAUUGAAGAUAGUGCGUUUUACAAGUCACAAAAAUGUCAGAUAUCAGAAAAUGGUUCAUGAAGCAGCAUGACAAAGGUACGGGUAAUGGGAGUAUGUCCAAGAAUAGUGCUCCAGAAAAGCCUUCAGCAGAAAAGCCUUCUCCAGGAAACCUGGUACAAGAAGGACAAGAGACUGCCGGCAGAAGGAAAACUAGUAAAUAUUUUGCUACAGCACAAGUGAAGGCAAAAGAAGAAAAAAGUAGAGGAAGUAUCAGCAAAAAGAAAAGCUCAAAAUGCUGGUGGAAGUUCAUCAGUUAAUGAGAAGCCACCAGCUGCGAAAAGAAUUUCACAAAGCUGAGGAUGACGAUGACUUUGUACUGCCUGCAUCUGCAAUGGGAUCCAGAGGUGCCACUCCCGCAAAAAGUCGGCAAGUGGCUCUGGCAGGGGAUCUGCACGGAAGUCUGUGAUCAGUGAUGAAAGUGACGAUGAUCUUAAGGAUACAAAAUCUGAUCCCAAACCUACUGGAAGAGGGCGUGGUGGACGAGCAGCUCAGACUGGUGGGAAAGGCAUCCCUCUUGAUGAAAGUGAUGAUGAUGCCUCAGCUGAUAAGGACACCAAAUCUGGUGGAUGAGGGCGUGGUGGUAAAGGACCAUCUGCAGCACCAAGUGGUGGACGAGACAGAGGUGGUGGAGGACGGGGCGGUUUCAUGAAUUUUGGUGAAAGAAAAGACCCUCCUCACAAGGGGGAAAAGGAAGUUCCUGAAGGUGCCCCAAACUGUUUAGCUGGUUUGACUUUUGUAAUUAGUGGAACUCUGGACAGAUACAGGUUUCGAACAGCAGCAACAGCAGUAGUGCGAGUGUUAGCAUUUCGAUCAGCGAGGCACCGAGGUAGCCUUGCAGACGUCCCCAGGCCCGGCGUCUCCUCUAUCUUUAU
Nicotiana attenuata is the source of this 1130-nucleotide long non-coding RNA. RefSeq lists it as uncharacterized. Lineage: Eukaryota; Viridiplantae; Streptophyta; Magnoliopsida; Solanales; Solanaceae. The record is from RefSeq and is a predicted model, not a curated record. The transcript is spliced from 6 exons.